Triticum aestivum (bread wheat) is the source of this 2445-nucleotide RNA transcript. RefSeq lists it as uncharacterized. NCBI's taxonomy places the organism in Eukaryota, Viridiplantae, Streptophyta, Magnoliopsida, Poales, Poaceae. The transcript has 3 exons. The record is from RefSeq and is a predicted model, not a curated record.
CACACACGCACACGCCGUCGCCACACACACCACUGACACACUCUCUCAUCUUGCUCCCGGACAAGCAGCGCCUCCGCCCUCCCCACUGCAUCCCGCCGCCGGCACAGGGACCCUCCCUUGCUGCGCGCUGCUUCGGCAGGGACUGCCCCUCUGCCUCCCCACUCCCCAUGGCUGCUGAGACGGCCGCCCUUCUCUUGCCUCUCCACCUCCGUCCGCGGAGGCGCAGACUUCCUCUCCACCAGAUCCUCGGUCGUGGACUCGACAUGAGAGCUGGAGGGUUCCCCUACGCCUACCUCCUCCUCCCGCGGGACAAGACGCAGAAUCGGAGCAAGCGCCGAGGAGCGCCGGCUAGGACGCCGUGCUCCGAUGGGUUGGGCGUGUUGCGAGCCUCACCGUGGCCAAGUACCACAUGCUCCAGAGUGGAUGGUCGAUGCCCUCCCCACCUGGCCACCUCACGCGUGACUGGUAUUUCGUCAUCCCGCCUCUGCUCGAUUCGGCUCCGUCCGAUGGCGGUGCUUGCGCCUUGACGCCGCGCCUCGCACGAUGGCCGCCAGAAGCCUAUGCCUUGGCCGCUUUAGCUAUUCAGUUUCGUGGCAUGAAAAAGAACAUAUAUAUAACAAUGCAUUCCAUGGGGCUGCAGUACUGGAAAAUUUCCUGAUCGUUGAGGCAACCAACAUGGAUUUGCAUAGCUUCUGUAACUCAAAUGAAUGCUAUGUAAAUAAUAUUUUUUUCGUCUAACUAUUAUCAAAAUGCAUGCAGGUUUAGCUCUGACAGAAUCAAGUCAAUCAACUAUGGGACAGAUUUUUGUGUACACUUCUUGUGCAUAUGUGAAGGGAAGCAAGCUUGGAUUCACUGGAUGAUGUAUACACACCAAGUGCACCUCGCUUUCAUAAUAGCAAGCAACCUCAUAUUGAGGUACGUUCUCUUCGCUUGCAGCCUUUUUAAGAGUUUGGUUUUUCCAGUUAGUCUCUUCUGAUGGUGAUGUCUCAGAAAAUCGCUUUCUCCGGUGGUUGAUAAUUUUAGCUCUAUAUGCUUGUGUUGCAAACAGCACAAGCAACUGGGCAACCAUUUGUUUCAUAAACUCAAACCAUUGAACUUAAAAACAUCACCUUCCGCAGCUGGUGUGUAUCGUAGUUGAGUGACAGCAGAUUGCCCAGUGGGCUUCUCCGCAGUGUGAAAAUCUGUCAGAAAGAAUUGAUCAUAGAUAUGAUUAUACUUGUGACUGCUACAUCAUAAAGAACAGAAAAAAUGGACAUACCAGGUGAUAUGGCCACGGGUGUCUUAGAUGGAGUGCGCUUUCAAUUUAGAAAGGAGAUGUAGCUUUGUUAUUAUCCUUUGCCUCGUGUCUUCUUUUUAAUAUCUCGUGUCUUCUUUAAUUCUUUUGGAUCUGCUUUUUGACCUGUCUCCAAGAAAAUCUUCAGGAUCUAUAAGGUCCAAGUAGGUAAGAGUUGGUGAUAUAUUUAUUUACCCUGGGUAAAUAGCAAAUCAAGUAAAUAAGAAAGUCUUGUACAUCUCAUUUUGGAAAUUUGAGAAAUGAUCAAGAGGUGAAGUCCACUUUGAUUUUUACCUUGUGCAGACUUAGGUUUGUUGUAGGUCCUUGUAGUCAUGGUUUUCUUUUAAAAAAAUCAUACAUCAUCGAACCAUGCUGAACUCACGUGUACAGAGUAUGCUGUCAUCAUCUUACAUAGCAUCUUCUAUAAAUCAUACACAAAAUUUCGGAAUCUGAACUACACAACUUUGAAACAAACUGAAAAGUUAUCAGCAUCUGCACUAAACAUUGGUAAGUUAGCUUUAGGAGAAACAUACUCAAAGAAUAUCUGAGUCGGCCGUUAUUCAUCUUGACAGUAAGGCACGAUAGUCAUUAAAUUCGUAUUACGAUUCUUCGUGCCAACACUACAACCUACAACAGUAAAUCAUAUAUAUAACUAUGUCCGAAACUUGACAUCAUACAAUGUGGAAGAAGGAAUUAAAUUGCCAAAAAUAUAUACAUACCUUACUCUUUAACUGCGUUUACUCGAUUGCUGAGUCUGAUGAAUUGCUACAUAAAUAGCCCAAAUGAUUGCCUGGCCAUAUGUAAUGUUGGUAAACAUACAAUGUAAGUACCAGAAUUCGAUCAGAAUAAAACUUCGGCAAACCAACAUUUAGUUAUUUAAACAAAAGUUCACCUUAUUGAGUACAGAAGUGGCACUUGGAUUAAGCAUUUGAAAAACAUUAAUGCAUGGUACCCAAUACCAAUUGGCAGGCCAACAUAUAAGAACAAAUUUUGCUUAAUUGUAUUUCAGAUAUAUAGAGAAGCAUGUACUGAUUUUUAUUUGCACAAAAUGAUUAGUCGUAGAUUGUCAUAGAGAUUUUGUAGUCAUUUCAUUCAAAUGGCUUAAAACUAACAUAAAAAUGUGGCAAUCCAUUGGCACAAAUAGACUUCAUACAGUACUCUCAAGUCUACAA